ACUGAAAAAAAAAUGAAGAACAAUGGAAACAAGGAAAAAGAAAUAUCACUGUCAACAAGAAUAAAUUGUUAUUUCCAGUAAGAAAACAAAAUGAGUUGUUAUAUUUCUCAACUUCUCUCCUUAAUGUAUUUAUUAUUUAUUUUUUCCUUUCUAUGUUUGCAUAUAUGUUUAAAGUUGAAAACUAUGGUUGUGGUGAAAGGGUUUAGUCAUUUUUAUUUCUCUCAUGUUCAACAUAUAUUGUUACAUUUCCACCUUUAAAUAUUUAUUUCUUCCAUUUUUUAUUUUACAUUUUUUAUUCUUCAAUGAUCAAGAUUAUAAAGCGGAAAAGUUUUUUCAAUGAUCUAGGGUUUCUUUCUCUUUUUAUUCUUAGUUACGUUAUUUCUUCUUUCCUUUUUUAUCCUAGAAUUUUUGACAGGGAUUUCUUUCUUUCCCUUUUUAUUCUUAGUCAUUUCUUCUUUUACAUUACAAACCUUACUAACUAACUAACUAACUACUGCUAGGGUUUGACUCUAACAGGCUCUAUCUCUACUUUCAAACAAAAAAGAACAACUACAAAAAAAUGGCCGACAUGUCUAGGAUACGUUCAAUCAACCGUGAACUCAAAGGUAUCCAACUUUUCAUUCCAUAGCUUUCAAUUUAAUACAUUCAAUGUUUUAUUAUUUUUAUUUUAUUUUAUUUAACUAUGUAUGAUAUGAUAGUUAUGAUUUUAGAUAAAAAUAAGUGCGAACAGUGGAGUUAAGAACAAAGAGCAGAAGUACUAUGAACCGAUGAAGCAAUUGUAUAAUUGUAAGUUUACUUAGACAUCCUUUAUAUCACCUACACCCAAUUGAUGAAUUUUUUUUCGACCUUGUUAUAAAAAAAUUCUAAUUUUGACCCCUUUUCAUAUUUAAUUUCCGAAAUGACUCACUUUCACAUUUUUUUCAUUACCGUCCGUUGAGAUGGCAGUAUUCAGCUGGUAUGCAGACAAGUGACAGGGUGUGACAGGUGAUGGUAGUUUGACCAUUUUAUUUUGUUUUUUUUUUUUCUUUACCGCCGUUUCAAGUGGCGAUAUAUUGAAUUUAUAAUUUUUUUUUUUCGUUUUCUCUUUUUGUCACAAGAAGUGUGCUUUAAAAUUAAAACACUAAUAAUAAUAAAUAAAUACUUAUUAAUGAUAAUGAUAAUAAAUAUUAAUUUAUUAAUUUAAAAACACUAAUUAUAUUAUUCAUAUAAUUAGAAAUAAAAACAAUAACUACUUUUUCCGCUUUAUCCAAUUUCAAAAAUUUAAAUUAUGACGUCCCGUAUCACAUAGUUUAUCUUUUUUAAUUCGUACGGGUCGUUGGUCUUGCUCUUGCUCUUCCUCUUCCACCUCCUCAUCAUGAAUUUCAACAUCAUUGGUUUCCAUAGUCACCUCAUUUUGCACUCGUGCAACAAAGUUAGUCCAAAUUUCAUUAACGAAAUCAUUGCCAUUAAACCCUACAACCCGACUUUUUAUGGUAUUAGGUUGUGGAUGUGGCCAUUGGGGUGAAUAGUUUGUUUGGGGAUAGUUUACAAUGUUUGGAGGGGUUGGUAAGAUGAACGAGGAGUAUUGUGAUCGGUCAGGGUAACUAGUUUGUGGGGUGUUUUGAGUUGGAUUGAAGUCAUCAAAUGAAUAGUUUGAUGUUUGAGAGCUUUCUCAAUGAUGACUAAGUUGAGAGUAGCUUGGAAAUAUAAUUGGGUAGUUUUGUAAGAAUUGGUUCGUGGGUUGUAGUGAUGAUUGGUAGGUUUGGUUGUAAUUGUAGUUUGUGGAUGAGUUAAAGCUUUGGUCAAAGUAAGUGGGUGGAGGUGUAAUGAAUUGGUUGUUGGGUGGAGGUGUAUUUGACCACAUGUUUGCAUUUGACAUCAUAUAGGUUUAUGGUUUUGCAGGAUAGUCUGACGGAAAUUCUCGUAAAAUUCUUCUACACUCUACCAUUGAGUUUGCUAAUAGUGCUUCUCUAGAAAUCCAAAAAUGAUCUCCAAAAAAGUUCCAAUACCAUUCAAAAUAUCGACGAUUCUGAUAAACCUCAUGGUUAUAUCAGACUCCAUCUAGUGCUAACUGAUGACGUUGGUUUCACUUUUGGAUAUUAUACUUAAAUUCAUCUCCACACGAGCCUUUUUUUUUUGAAUUUGUCAAAAAAAUCUUGUGGAAAUCUUUUAUAUCAUAUGUAUGGUAAGUGAAUAUUGUGGUAAGCCAAAUUAAAGUAUUACUCUAUCUGUUUGAUGUCUUUCGACUAUCUCGAAACAUAUGAGAUAUGUGUUUGCAGACCAUAUCCGAAUUUCUUCUUCGUUGGUGUAAUGGAAGUGGAGAUUGGGCCUCCAAUAGAACUGUUUAAAAUGAGGAAUGCUAGUCUUCUAAUGUUGACUAAAAAGAAAUCACGAAAAUAAAAAGUGUAAUACUUGAUCAUAUGUCAUAUUGUCGAAUUUUGAAUGUGUCGAAACAAGAUUAUGCAAAGGAUUUUCGAUAAAUUUACUCCCACGUUCUAGCCAUCUAAUUAUUUUUAAAAUAUUCUAAUUAAUAUACUUGAUAAUUGUAUUUUAAAACUAGUAAGAAAUAAUAUAUUUAUUUAACUUACAUAUUUGUCAACGGAGGUUGUGUUUCAGGUUGUGGUGGGUGCCUGGACACGGGAGCUAUGAACAACAUUCUUGACCACGCC
RNAcentral lists this long non-coding RNA (2648 nucleotides) under Medicago truncatula (barrel medic). RNAcentral describes it as "long non-coding RNA (MTRU_LNC004526)". The record is from RNAcentral. Lineage: Eukaryota; Viridiplantae; Streptophyta; Magnoliopsida; Fabales; Fabaceae.